AGUGAAAUAAUCUGUAUGUAAACAAUUGUUGGAAAAAAUGACUUGUCAUGCACAAAGUAGAUGUCCUAACCGACUUGCCAAAACUAUGGUUUGUUAACAAGAAAUGUGUGGAGUUGUUGAGAAAUUAGUUUUCGUGACUCAACCAAAGUGUAUGUAAACUUCUGAUUUCAACUGUGUGUAUAUGUUAUAUAAUAUAACAUUUUCCAAAUGUGUAUGCAACCAAUACAUUUGUAUUUGCUAGAAUCCCUCUUCUCUAACCUGCGUUGACUGUUGUUUGUGUGUUCCAGGUGUGGUUGUUCUGUGGUCUACCAGACCCUUGAGAUGGCUGCCUGGUCCCUGGCCCCGUUCGUCAUGGUAACCUAGGUCCACCUCCACCCUCCAGGCCCUUCCGGAGGACCUGCCUCUGGAGCCCGGACCUAGAACCCAGGGACCGGUUAGCCAUCACAUCCACGGAACCCUAUUCCAGACGACCACACAGACCCCAGGCGGCAGGAAGUGACAUCAGCAAAGCACUCCAACCACGACUGUAGCUCGCCUCCAGUGACCUGGGGGCCGCGUGCGGACGUGCUGGGGGCCGCGUGCUGGGGGCCGCGUGCGGACGUGCUGGGGGCCGCGUGCGGACGUGCUGGGGGCCGCGUGCGGACGUGCUGGGGGCCGCGUGCGGACGUGCUGGGGGCCGCGUGCGGACGUGCUGGGGGCCGCGUGCGGACGUGCUGGGGGCCGCGUGCGGACGUGCUGGGGGUCCCGCUGGCUGCUCCUUUCGGAGAGAUAAAGGAGCUGCGUGAGGAGACACUGGCCUUCCUUGUAAACAUGUGCACUCAGCGCCAGCGUGGAGAGCCCUACGCUGUGAGGCAUGGAGGAGGAGAAAGAGGGAACCACUGUGAAGACCCCUGCUCCUGGGGUGUCUGUUGCAGUACUGGCCCUGGGAGAGAUCCUGAGGUGGCUAGAAAGAGAGGAGGGGGUAAGGAAGGAAGGAAGGAAGGAAGGAAGGAAGGAAGGAAGGAAGGAAAGGAAGGAAGGAAGGAAGGAAAGGAAGGAAAGGAGAGGCACCCUCUGGCCCCAGGAGACAAUCAUCUCUACCCUCACUACCCUGGCCCUGCAUGAGACCCACCCUCAGUCUCCAGCUUCAGUCUCCAAGUAAACCAAAGGGCAGGAUGAUCGGAGGAUAUCCUGAUGUAGCAAAGGAUCGUUCACUUAUAAACCAGGUUGGUUGCCUGAUGUGGCUGUCUCUUGCUCCUGCUCUCCUUCGCCAUCUCCCGGCAGCCACUCUGUCAGGGUGAGGAUGCCCAUUGGCACCUGCCCCCACAGCUGGCACAGCAACCCUACAGCCAGGGCCACAGGAUGAGGAGGUGUUCCUGUUUGAGGAGGGAGAUCUGAACCUGUGGGCCGAGCCUGUCCAGUGGAUGCAGCUGCUACACAGAUACCUGGGUGUCCUCUUCAAAGCCCCAGAGCUGAAGGCUCUGAACCAGAACCAGGCAGAGCUCCUCAGUCUGUCAGCCCAGGAAGAUGCCAUGUCCCUGGCCACCCAUCAGGCUCUGGAGGGCCUCCCAGCCCUGGCCCAGUUCUCCUGCACCAUAGAGCAUGCCCGGCUGGCCUGCAGCAGGAGAGGGCCACACUGGCUACGGGUUUUAGACUCCAAGAAACAUUCUGAAUUUAACACUUGUAAAAAGCAAUAUACACAUUUAUCUUGACUAAAAUGGUUUGUUUUUUAUCAGCGACGGAUGUAUGGGUUUUAGAAGGGAAUGUAAAGUGUUUAACUUUUGAGUUUUGUCUGUGUUUUUCAAAGUAAAGAUUCCUAAUUCAUGUCUCGCGAUUCUUGAAAACAACCACAGGGCGGUAUGUGUAUGGAUUUGUUUUUAAUCUAAUAUGUAUUAGCACUUUUUCCAGUGGACUCUUUUCAUCCCUUGGCAUAGGUUUUUCUGCCUCCUUGGUUUCCUAGGUUACGUAAUUAGGAGGGCAACACAAUGGUCCACUGUCCUGUGUUAGCGACUGCCCAGACGGCUGGGCAGUCUUGCGCUGUAGUAUGGCAAUGUUCCCUGUAGAAAUGAUGUAAUGUUCUGGAACUCUUGAACAUCCCCCAAUAAAAACAGCACUGUGUGAUGAGUGUUUUUUUGUUUUUUGUUUUUUGCGGAUGAGGACAUAUUCAAGG
Molecule: long non-coding RNA, 2149 nt
Organism: Oncorhynchus gorbuscha (pink salmon)
Lineage: Eukaryota; Metazoa; Chordata; Actinopteri; Salmoniformes; Salmonidae
Exons: 7
Source: RefSeq, a predicted model, not a curated record